UUAAAGGCCCUUUUAAGGGCCAUCAAUUAUUCUGAAGAACAGAAUUU
This is a non-coding RNA of Oryzias latipes (Japanese medaka), 47 nucleotides long. NCBI's taxonomy places the organism in Eukaryota, Metazoa, Chordata, Actinopteri, Beloniformes, Adrianichthyidae. The record is from Rfam.